GACAGAGGGUGCAAACGUUGCUCGGAAUUACUGGGCGUAAAGGGCGUGUAGGCGGGAAGGAAAGUCAGAUGUGAAAUCCCUGGGCUCAACCCAGGAACUGCAUUUGAAACUCCCUUUCUUGAGUACCGGAGAGGAAGGUGGAAUUCCUGGUGUAGAGGUGAAAUUCGUAGAUAUCAGGAGGAACACCAGUGGCGAAGGCGGCCUUCUGGACGGUAACUGACGCUGAGACGCGAAAGCGUGGGGAGCAAACAGG
This 253-nucleotide ribosomal RNA is filed under the name uncultured bacterium. Its description in RNAcentral is "partial 16S ribosomal RNA". It matches the Rfam family "Bacterial small subunit ribosomal RNA", at positions 524 to 776 of the family's 1533-position model. The record is from RNAcentral.